UACGUAGGGCGCAAGCGUUGUCCGGAUUCACUGGGUGUAAAGGGUGCGCAGGCGGGAAAGUAAGUUAGAGGUGAAAUCUCACAGCUCAACUGUGAAACUGCCUUUGAUACUGCUUUUCUUGAGUUAGGGAGAGGUUGAUGGAAUUCCAGGUGUAGCGGUGAAAUGCGUAGAUAUCUGGAAGAACACCGGUGGCGAAGGCGGUCAACUGGCCCUAAACUGACGCUCAGGCACGAAAGCGUGUGGAUCAAACAGG
This 253-nucleotide ribosomal RNA is filed under the name uncultured bacterium. RNAcentral describes it as "partial 16S ribosomal RNA". It matches the Rfam family "Bacterial small subunit ribosomal RNA", at positions 524 to 776 of the family's 1533-position model. The record is from RNAcentral.